AACGCGAAGAACCUUACCCAGACUUGACAUGCAGUGGACAGAGCUAGAGAUAGCUUCUCCCUUCGGGGCCGCUGCACAGGUGCUGCAUGGCUGUCGUCAGCUCGUGCCGUGAGGUGUUGGGUUAAGUCCCGCAACGAGCGCAACCCUUAUCAUUAGUUGCCAACAUUUAAGGUGGGAACUCUAAUGAGACUGCCUGGGUUAACCAGGAGGAAGGUGAGGAUGACGUCAAGUCCGCAUGGCCCUUAUGUCUGGGGCUACACACGUGCUACAAUGGUCGGUACAGAAGGCAGCGAAACCGCGAGGUGAAGCAAAUCCCAAAAGCCGAUCUCAGUUCAGAUUGUAGUCUGCAACUCGACUACAUGAAGACGGAAUUGCUAGUAAUGGCAGGUCAGCAACACUGCCGUGAAUACGUUCCCGGGCCUUGUACACACCGGCUAC
This 438-nucleotide ribosomal RNA is filed under the name uncultured bacterium. RNAcentral describes it as "bacterial SSU rRNA". It matches the Rfam family "Bacterial small subunit ribosomal RNA", at positions 958 to 1397 of the family's 1533-position model. The record is from RNAcentral.